RNAcentral lists this ribosomal RNA (2652 nucleotides) under Escherichia coli. RNAcentral describes it as "partial 23S ribosomal RNA". It matches the Rfam family "Bacterial large subunit ribosomal RNA", at positions 296 to 2925 of the family's 2925-position model. The record is from RNAcentral. Lineage: Bacteria; Pseudomonadati; Pseudomonadota; Gammaproteobacteria; Enterobacterales; Enterobacteriaceae.
AGCCCAGAGCCUGAAUCAGUGUGUGUGUUAGUGGAAGCGUCUGGAAAGGCGCGCGAUACAGGGUGACAGCCCCGUACACAAAAAUGCACAUGCUGUGAGCUCGAUGAGUAGGGCGGGACACGUGGUAUCCUGUCUGAAUAUGGGGGGACCAUCCUCCAAGGCUAAAUACUCCUGACUGACCGAUAGUGAACCAGUACCGUGAGGGAAAGGCGAAAAGAACCCCGGCGAGGGGAGUGAAAAAGAACCUGAAACCGUGUACGUACAAGCAGUGGGAGCACGCUUAGGCGUGUGACUGCGUACCUUUUGUAUAAUGGGUCAGCGACUUAUAUUCUGUAGCAAGGUUAACCGAAUAGGGGAGCCGAAGGGAAACCGAGUCUUAACUGGGCGUUAAGUUGCAGGGUAUAGACCCGAAACCCGGUGAUCUAGCCAUGGGCAGGUUGAAGGUUGGGUAACACUAACUGGAGGACCGAACCGACUAAUGUUGAAAAAUUAGCGGAUGACUUGUGGCUGGGGGUGAAAGGCCAAUCAAACCGGGAGAUAGCUGGUUCUCCCCGAAAGCUAUUUAGGUAGCGCCUCGUGAAUUCAUCUCCGGGGGUAGAGCACUGUUUCGGCAAGGGGGUCAUCCCGACUUACCAACCCGAUGCAAACUACGAAUACCGGAGAAUGUUAUCACGGGAGACACACGGCGGGUGCUAACGUCCGUCGUGAAGAGGGAAACAACCCAGACCGCCAGCUAAGGUCCCAAAGUCAUGGUUAAGUGGGAAACGAUGUGGGAAGGCCCAGACAGCCAGGAUGUUGGCUUAGAAGCAGCCAUCAUUUAAAGAAAGCGUAAUAGCUCACUGGUCGAGUCGGCCUGCGCGGAAGAUGUAACGGGGCUAAACCAUGCACCGAAGCUGCGGCAGCGACGCUGAUGCGUUGUUGGGUAGGGGAGCGUUCUGUAAGCCUGCGAAGGUGUGCUGUGAGGCAUGCUGGAGGUAUCAGAAGUGCGAAUGCUGACAUAAGUAACGAUAAAGCGGGUGAAAAGCCCGCUCGCCGGAAGACCAAGGGUUCCUGUCCAACGUUAAUCGGGGCAGGGUGAGUCGACCCCUAAGGCGAGGCCGAAAGGCGUAGUCGAUGGGAAACAGGUUAAUAUUCCUGUACUUGGUGUUACUGCGAAGGGGGGACGGAGAAGGCUAUGUUGGCCGGGCGACGGUUGUCCCGGUUUAAGCGUGUAGGCUGGUUUUCCAGGCAAAUCCGGAAAAUCAAGGCUGAGGCGUGAUGACGAGGCACUACGGUGCUGAAGCAACAAAUGCCCUGCUUCCAGGAAAAGCCUCUAAGCAUCAGGUAACAUCAAAUCGUACCCCAAACCGACACAGGUGGUCAGGUAGAGAAUACCAAGGCGCUUGAGAGAACUCGGGUGAAGGAACUAGGCAAAAUGGUGCCGUAACUUCGGGAGAAGGCACGCUGAUAUGUAGGUGAAGUCCCUCGCGGAUGGAGCUGAAAUCAGUCGAAGAUACCAGCUGGCUGCAACUGUUUAUUAAAAACACAGCACUGUGCAAACACGAAAGUGGACGUAUACGGUGUGACGCCUGCCCGGUGCCGGAAGGUUAAUUGAUGGGGUUAGCGCAAGCGAAGCUCUUGAUCGAAGCCCCGGUAAACGGCGGCCGUAACUAUAACGGUCCUAAGGUAGCGAAAUUCCUUGUCGGGUAAGUUCCGACCUGCACGAAUGGCGUAAUGAUGGCCAGGCUGUCUCCACCCGAGACUCAGUGAAAUUGAACUCGCUGUGAAGAUGCAGUGUACCCGCGGCAAGACGGAAAGACCCCGUGAACCUUUACUAUAGCUUGACACUGAACAUUGAGCCUUGAUGUGUAGGAUAGGUGGGAGGCUUUGAAGUGUGGACGCCAGUCUGCAUGGAGCCGACCUUGAAAUACCACCCUUUAAUGUUUGAUGUUCUAACGUGGACCCGUAAUCCGGGUUGCGGACAGUGUCUGGUGGGUAGUUUGACUGGGGCGGUCUCCUCCUAAAGAGUAACGGAGGAGCACGAAGGUUGGCUAAUCCUGGUCGGACAUCAGGAGGUUAGUGCAAUGGCAUAAGCCAGCUUGACUGCGAGCGUGACGGCGCGAGCAGGUGCGAAAGCAGGUCAUAGUGAUCCGGUGGUUCUGAAUGGAAGGGCCAUCGCUCAACGGAUAAAAGGUACUCCGGGGAUAACAGGCUGAUACCGCCCAAGAGUUCAUAUCGACGGCGGUGUUUGGCACCUCGAUGUCGGCUCAUCACAUCCUGGGGCUGAAGUAGGUCCCAAGGGUAUGGCUGUUCGCCAUUUAAAGUGGUACGCGAGCUGGGUUUAGAACGUCGUGAGACAGUUCGGUCCCUAUCUGCCGUGGGCGCUGGAGAAUUGAGGGGGGCUGCUCCUAGUACGAGAGGACCGGAGUGGACGCAUCACUGGUGUUCGGGUUGUCAUGCCAAUGGCACUGCCCGGUAGCUAAAUGCGGAAGAGAUAAGUGCUGAAAGCAUCUAAGCACGAAACUUGCCCCGAGAUGAGUUCUCCCUGACCCUUUAAGGGUCCUGAAGGAACGUUGAAGACGACGACGUUGAUAGGCCGGGUGUGUAAGCGCAGCGAUGCGUUGAGCUAACCGGUACUAAUGAACCGUGAGGCUUAACCUUACAACGCCGAAG